CCUCCCUCCCUGUGCUGGAGCAGAGCACAUGGAGCAGCCCACCUAGCACACAGGCUUGGGCCUGUCUUGGGUUUCUGCAGAGCUGCUGACUGGGAGCAGCCUAGGCUCAAGCAGAAAGGAUGGAUUCCAUGUUGCAUGUCUCUAAUGAUUAUGGGGAGUCUCCUGAGAUUAGCCUCAGAUCCUAGAGGUAUAUCCAUGGGUAUGGAGACAAUCUUGAAAACAUAAUCAAGAGUAAGCUAAAGGCUCAAAAGAUAGAUAGCAAGUACAGAGCUCAAAAUAUAUUCUUAUUAUAAGCCAAUCUCAUAAUUUAUUUGAGGCCUGACUAAUUUUUGUGAAUGUUUGGGAGAACAAUGCUAAGAUUCUUACUACAUUUCUUCAGAUAAUAUUAUGAUUGAUCCUGUACAAAAAGACAACAGAGAGAGAUUAAGCCCCUUUGUGGUAGCAAUUAUGGCUGGGGCUUUCAAAACAGCAUAAGGAAGUUAGGAGCACAGUUCCUACAGGUGGAUAAGCAAGCAGUCUAAUGGAGUUGGGGGCCAGGAACACAAGCUAGGUGUGUUGCAUAACUGAAUGUUCAUAGUCUCAGCAGUUAGUGGUUGCUCCCAGCCUAACCAGUGCUUACAAAGGUUCUUUGCUUCUUUGUUCAGUGGGUUGUUGUUGGGUUUUGAUUAGAUGAAAUUGCAGAGUCAUAGAGCAAGGAUAUCCCAUUGCCCUGGGGGUGAAGCAAGGGCAUCGCAGCCCUGCGGUUAAGGCCACCAGCCUACCCUUAGCCCUCAGGGCAGUAUGGCCCAAUGACCAGAGUUACUGUGGUUUCCCUUGUCAUCAGGGCAUCUGACUAUGACCUAAUAGAGUCAAUGUGGUCACCCUUGUCCUUAGGGAAGGUUGGCCUAAUAGCCAGAGUUAGUCUAGGCACCUUGUCUGUCUUGGUGGUACAGCUCAGUGGUCGGAGUCAAUAUGAUUGCUUUUGCCAUCAGGGCAGUUCAGGCUAAUGGUGGAAGUCAGUAUAAUAAUUCUCUCAGUAGGGUAUUUGUAUUAUGAAGGCUCUAGCUGGUUUAUGAUUUUGAUGGUUUUCUCAUGGCUAUGAUCUGAGAAACCCAGGGAAAAAAAGCAAGCCUUUUCCAUUGCUGGAAACUGGAAAACAAAAUGUUUGAUUGAGGUCAUCUUGACAUCCAUUAGUGUGAUAAAUGAAGUGGAAUUCAAGGCUGUUCCAUUAUCAAGGUUCAUUUUCGUUGUUCAGAUCUGUGGGGUUUUUUGUUUUUUUUUCCUUUCUUUUUUUUUUUUUUUACAACAUGGCCUCAGACUCAAGGCUGAUUACAAUAAUUACAUUUUCUACCCAUAAUAGUACAAAUGAUUCAAAGAGUUAUUCAGAAUGUUUCAAUGUCAGCACUUAGAUAAAUGCUCAUUCUUUCAUAGGGAUUUCAUUUUUUUUAUGCAGAAGGUUAGUUAGUAGCUGCAAUAACGGUAUAGCUGUCAGAAAGCAGUGAAUUUACUUGCCCAGUAACUACAUUCACAAUUGUUUGGAACUCUGCAUGGCAACAAAACCGAAUGGGAUACUAGAUAAUUUAUAACUACUUCCCAGUACAAGGAGAACAAUUACACUGUGUGCAGUAUAAAAUGGCCAUUAUUUAGCUCAGUUUUUAAAAAUUAUUUGAACAAAAUGCCUAUCCUUUCCAGGGCUAUUUUCUUCAUAGUUCUAAUUAGAUACCCUAGAAAUACAGAAUGCAUAAAUUUUAGCCAGCAAA
This is a non-coding RNA of Pelodiscus sinensis (Chinese soft-shelled turtle), 1739 nucleotides long. NCBI's taxonomy places the organism in Eukaryota, Metazoa, Chordata, Testudines, Trionychidae. The record is from RefSeq and is a predicted model, not a curated record.